GAUGAACGCUAUCUACAGGCUUAACACAUGCAAGUCGAGGGGCAUCAGGAAGAAAGCUUGCUUUCUUUGCUGGCGACCGGCGCACGGGUGAGUAACACGUAUCCAACCUGCCCUUUACUCGGGGAUAGCCUUUCGAAAGAAAGAUUAAUACCCGAUGGCAUAAUGAUUCCGCAUGGUUUCAUUAUUAAAGGAUUCCGGUAAAGGAUGGGGAUGCGUUCCAUUAGGUUGUUGGUGAGGUAACGGCUCACCAAGCCUUCGAUGGAUAGGGGUUCUGAGAGGAAGGUCCCCCACAUUGGAACUGAGACACGGUCCAAACUCCUACGGGAGGCAGCAGUGAGGAAUAUUGGUCAAUGGGCGCUAGCCUGAACCAGCCAAGUAGCGUGAAGGAUGAAGGCUCUAUGGGUCGUAAACUUCUUUUAUAUAAGAAUAAAGUGUAGUAUGUAUACUGUUUUGUAUGUAUUAUAUGAAUAAGGAUCGGCUAACUCCGUGCCAGCAGCCGCGGUAAUACGGAGGAUCCGAGCGUUAUCCGGAUUUAUUGGGUUUAAAGGGAGCGUAGGUGGACUGGUAAGUCAGUUGUGAAAGUUUGCGGCUCAACCGUAAAAUUGCAGUUGAUACUGUCAGUCUUGAGUACAGUAGAGGUGGGCGGAAUUCGUGGUGUAGCGGUGAAAUGCUUAGAUAUCACGAAGAACUCCGAUUGCGAAGGCAGCUCACUGGACUGCAACUGACACUGAUG
Molecule: ribosomal RNA, 733 nt
Filed under: uncultured bacterium
Lineage: Bacteria
Description: bacterial SSU rRNA
Rfam family: Bacterial small subunit ribosomal RNA
Source: RNAcentral